ACGCGCUUGGAUGGCAUGGGCGAAGCCUGAUCCAGCAAUGCCGCGUGUGUGAAGAAGGCCUUCGGGUUGUAAAGCACUUUUGUUCGGGAAGAAAGUAUUCGUGCUAAUACCAUGGAUAGAUGACGGUACCGGAAGAAUAAGCACCGGCUAACUACGUGCCAGCAGCCGCGGUAAUAA
RNAcentral lists this ribosomal RNA (177 nucleotides) under uncultured bacterium. RNAcentral describes it as "partial 16S ribosomal RNA". It matches the Rfam family "Bacterial small subunit ribosomal RNA", at positions 358 to 526 of the family's 1533-position model. The record is from RNAcentral.